RNAcentral lists this ribosomal RNA (394 nucleotides) under uncultured Chrysophyceae. Its description in RNAcentral is "partial small subunit ribosomal RNA". It matches the Rfam family "Eukaryotic small subunit ribosomal RNA", at positions 30 to 432 of the family's 1831-position model. Lineage: Eukaryota; Chrysophyceae. The record is from RNAcentral.
GCUUGUCUCAAAGAUUAAGCCAUGCAUGUCUAAGUAUAAACGACUUUAUACUGUGAAACUGCGAAUGGCUCAUUAUAUCAGUUAUAGUUUCUUUGAUGGUUCUUGCUACUUGGAUAACCGUAGUAAUUCUAGAGCUAAUACAUGCAUAAAGCCCCGACUCUUGGGAGGGGUGUAUUUAUUAGAUGGAAACCAAUGCGGGGCAACCCGGGAUGUGGUGAUUCAUAAUAACUUUCGGAUCGAUCUUCGGAUCGAUGCAUCAUUCAAGUUUCUGCCCUAUCAGCUUUGGAUGGUAGGGUAUUGGCCUACCAUGGCUUUAACGGGUAACGGAGAAUUAGGGUUCGAUUCCGGAGAGGGAGCCUGAGAAAUGGCUACCACAUCCAAGGAAGGCAGCAGG